Molecule: ribosomal RNA, 380 nt
Filed under: uncultured eukaryote
Lineage: Eukaryota
Description: partial 18S ribosomal RNA
Rfam family: Eukaryotic small subunit ribosomal RNA
Source: RNAcentral
CAAUAGCGUAUAUUAAAGUUGUUGCAGUUAAAAAGCUCGUAGUUGGAUUUGUGGCUGUCACGGGCGGCCUAUCACUUAGUGUUAGUGCUUGCCUGUGUCGCCAUCCUUGGGUGGAGCCCGUGUGGCAUUAGGUUGUCGUGCGGGGGAUGCCCAUCGUUUACUGUGAGAAAAUUAGAGUGUUCAAAGCAGGCUUAUGCCGUUGAAUAUGUUAGCAUGGAAUAAUAAGAUAGGACCUCGGUACUAUUUUGUUGGUUUGCGCACCGAGGUAAUGAUUAAUAGGGACAGUUGGGGGUAUUCGUAUUUCAUUGCCAGAGGUGAAAUUCUUGGAUUUCUGAAAGACGAACUACUGCGAAAGCAUUUACCAAGGAUGUUUUCAUUAA